This 2268-nucleotide long non-coding RNA is filed under the name Macaca fascicularis (crab-eating macaque). Its description in RNAcentral is "lncRNA (ENSMFAG00000063188.1)". The record is from RNAcentral. Lineage: Eukaryota; Metazoa; Chordata; Mammalia; Primates; Cercopithecidae.
GUCUUCCUCGCGUCUCCUGCGGGAGCUUCGCCGCCGCUGCCCUCGGCGCUGAGAGCUUGCGGAGCCGAGCUGCUGUCGAGUCCCAGCUGAAAGAAGUCCAAGGUGCCGGAGAAGCCCAGUCGUGGACGUUCUCGCUCCCUCAUCUUCGAGACCCGCACGCCCUACGGAGAGGAAAUGACAGGCACGCCGUGACCGUGGGGCGGUGCUCGCGCGAGCUCCGGGUUUCUCGAGUCCGGGGCCGGGCCGGGGCCGUGAAAGGCAGAGUGGCGCGGGGAAGGCCCAGUACCCCGCCCCUUCCGCACCGACCCCUCCCCCGCGGAGCUGGUCCAGGCCCCAGGCCUGUGGACUGGACCCCGAGGGCGGCGGGCGGCUGCCGAGUUGGGCAGCACGGAAGCUGCCGGCGGGAGCGGAGCUGCGAGGAGAUGGCCUUUGAGGGCAGCGCGGGGUCGAAAUACCAUCCCAGCGCUGUGACCUCUUGGAGCCCACGUUUCCUCUUUGGUGGAGGGGAGGGAGUGGUCCAGAUUCAGAGUCCCUUGCAGUUCGGAGCGGAGCCUGGGAGCUGAAUGACCCAGUGUGCAAGGCGCACCUCGGAGACAGAAAGCAACCGCUCCCCCGGCUUCAAUUUCACACCACCUGCAGAUACACAUCUCAGAAUCUGCGGCUAGGAAGACCUGGGCCGCCAGAAGCUAAGCGUGUGCAUUUUAUCAUCGGCCCUUGGUUUCUCGUUUUAGAGUGAGUUCCCACCUGCCCUACCUAAACUGACCUGAAACGGAAAGUUGUAUGCCCCCACGGCUGUCCUCACUGCAGAACUGCAGAGGGUUUUAAGCUCCUUAUUACCUGUUUCUUAUAACCCUGUCCCUUUCCAGGCGAGUAUUUAUUGGAUAUUUCUACUUGUUUUGUCAAACUUCCUUUUCUUUUGACUUUAUAAAAAGCAAUGCCGGGAGGCUGAGGCAGGAGAAUCGCUUGAACCCGGGAGACGGAGGUUGCAGUGAGCUGAGAUCUCGCCAUUGCACUCCAGUCUGGGCAAAAAGAGCGAAACUCUGUCUCAAAAAAAGAAAAAAAAAAUGCUCGUCCUUAAAAUUAUGUGCAGAAGCUUACUGAAAAGUACAAGUUACUAUUUUUCCUUCUGAAGUACUCCUCACAGGUAACCUUAAAAUGCUUAAAACACGUAAUUGUUGAAUGAAUAAAUGCCCCUCAGUGAAUUUCCUUUGCCGUUACAAACAUAUGUACGUACCUUGCUUUUUCUGUUUAACAGUAUACUUUUAUCAUUUAACAUCUGCGUGAUAUAGUAUUCCAUCCGAUGGUUGUAUUAUUAUUUAACCACUCCGCUAUUAAUAGACAUUCAUGUUGUUUGUAUUUUUUGGUUAUUAUAAACAUUGUUGCAGGCGAGAUCAUUGAACAACACAUGGAGUGUCUGACUCAAGCCUUGAGUUGUUUUUUCGGGAGCUGAGAAUCAGUGUGAUGUGGAAAGAAGAUGAGCUUGGAAUCUGAAGGUAGUGGCCAGGGAGAAGAGCUGCUCAUGUGCUCCCAAUAGAAAGUCCCCCUUGGUCUGUAAGGUUAGGGCUAUCCUCUGACUCAGCAAUUUUAGGAAACUGAGAAGGAAGCCUCAGUGGAGCCACCAGGGAGGCACACCCAGCCCUGACCAGCCAGUGGUCCUCCCAGCUUAUCUUCACAACCUGGGCUGGAGUGGGGAAUACUUUUGUUCCAGUGCUAGCUUUGGAAUCCUGGCCUCCAUCCCUUAAAAGCUUUUUGAUCUUAGGUAAGUCACAUCACACUAUCUCAGAGCCCCCGGUUCCUCACAGAAUGGUUGUUUUAGAGUUAUGUUGGUAAAUUACCUGGCACAUACAGGCAUGUGACAGACUGUAACCAAUGUUACUCAAGGUCAUUUUGCACUGAUUCAUACUUUGAGCCAUUUCCUACUGUACACUUGCACACAUUUUCAAGGUAGCUUCCUGAUAAUAGGGUUGUGGGAUAUUUUUGGGAAAUAAAUCCAAAUUGGCCAUUAAAACCAGAUUCCUGACUUUGCCUGGAUGUGUCAUCUGGAAAGCAAUCUGCAUGAAUUCCUUCAUUUCUUUGGUAACUAUUUAAUGAGUACUUAUGUGCCACGGAUUGCAGAGGGUAUAAGAACAGAGCCUUAGGCCGGACGCGGUGGCUCACGCCUGUAAUCCCAGCACUUUGGGAGGCCGAGGCGGGAGGAUCACGAGGUCAGGAGUUCAAGACCAGCCUGGCCAAGAUGGUGAAACCCCGUUUCUACUAAAAAUACAAAAA